This 1242-nucleotide long non-coding RNA is filed under the name Citrus sinensis (sweet orange). RNAcentral's name for it is "long non-coding RNA (CSIN_LNC001329)". Lineage: Eukaryota; Viridiplantae; Streptophyta; Magnoliopsida; Sapindales; Rutaceae. The record is from RNAcentral.
AUAAAUUCAUUACUCCCUGACUCACUGAAUAUAUAUCUAAAUACCCAAUUCUAUUUCCCGUAAUAUUUCCUCUUAAUUCCACUUCUAAACUUCAUUUCCCACUCUCGGCUUCUUCCUUUCUUUCUUCCUAUUUCUUUUCUUCUUUUCUUUUCUUUUCCUCUUUUCUUGUUCUCUCGGUUUUUCUUCUUUUUCUUCUCGAUUUCUUUCUUCUCUUCUCUCUGGCUUUCGCUCUCUAUUUUCAAAUGUAUAAAAUGAAGCAACUCUUAACAUUUGUGCUUUAUUUAGCCACCGAGUUAAGCAAGAUGACAAGUAAAUUGAUGAAGCAGGCUAGUGACUAAAAUAGUGAAGAAAAUAGGCGUAGGUAGAUGAGAUUAAUGAAGCAUGCAGCUUUGUGGAGCAAAAUUAAUGACCCAUUCUGGCUUUUUUUUUUUUUUUUUUUGCAAGCGAUGCAUGAUAAUUCCUUUAAUAUAUCUAUGUGCGUCCUCUGAAAAUAUAUAUGUAUUUAUGAAUUAAGUUUGUGCCACAAGUUUUAGUUACUAGACUGCAUAAUUCACUUUGGAUCCAACAUAUAGGUUAGGGCGGGUCAUGUCAGUUAUAACCAGCAGCCAUUGAGCUUGUGAGCCGUACGUUGCCAUGCUACCAGCCGAAGUCACAUGCAAACAAAAGUCCCAAAGGCAGCCGCUGCAUCCCUUUGUUCAUUGCAAUUUCCAAUGGAGUCAGAUCCAUAAAGCCUAUAAGGUGCAGAGUUUAUGAAUAUGUUUGGGUCAUUGAUUUUGAAAAACUUGCACGGUUUGGGUUUUUUGAAUUACUUAUGAAUCUGUUUUUGAUUUGCCAGUAUUCUCCUUGUUUUUUUUGGGUAAUUGUAAAGUUGCAUGUUUGCUUUAGCUUUCCUAUUUUUGGGAUGCAAUUGUUACUGAAGAUCUUAACUAAAUGAUUGAUGUUAAAAUGAAUUUUCUUUCUUUCUUUUUUCCAUUUGCUGGCUUGCUGCAUUUUUUUUUUAUUUGUGUGAUUUUAAUUUUGUAUUACAACUUGAAAGUGAGAUGAAUUCGUCUGAUUAUUCAAACACAUAUUACCGAUCUGAAUUCAAAUGCAAUCCGAAUUAAUCUGAUCCGAAUAUAUUCGGAUCAUAUUUAAGUUUGGAUUGCAUUCAGAUGAGUUUUUGAGCAAUCUGAAUAAUCUGAAAUCCAAUCGGAUGGAUCCAAAUCUAAUCUGAAUCCGAUUUUGCCCAACCCUAGUCAUAAG